ACACCCUUUGUGCCAGACCAUGUAAAAAGAUUGUCCAAAACCAGUGAUGAUAUCAGGACAAGAAAGAAAGCAUAUAAAAGUCCAUCAAAAGAAACUGAUUUCUUUUGUUUGUUCAUUUUCACUAGCUUCGGAGAAAAAUGAAGAAAAAUAAAAACGAAAAACUCAUGCUCCAACAUUCAAUUUUCUACGCACGCCUCACUAGCAUAAAUUGGUUGAAAAUCUUCCUUGCAAUGACUUUCUACUGAUUCAAGAUCUAAUUUCUUGUGCAAAAUUAAUGCAUUAGUGUCCUGCUUAAUUCUGUUAUACCACUAAUAGCGGUUUUCAGUUGAACAAGCUAUCCACUAUUCUCUGCCAUGGCUUCUCAUCAGUUCCUCUGCAGCCACCAGCUCUAUGCCUCCUACAACAGCAAAACCCAGUUCAAUUAUUUCAAGAAAGGCACUUUUCGUCUACCUUCUUCGUUUAAGCCACAUGGGUUAAUCGUUCUUGGACAGAAAAUUGCAACAUUGGAGGACCCGUUUGAUCAGAGCCACGACUGGCAGAAAACAAGUGUGGAGGCGGUGUAUGAUCUUGAGGAUAAACUAAACAAGUUGGCUGAUGAAGUGGAUGAGGAUGCUGGAACGUCAAGGCUUACUCUUUUUUCUCCUUGCAAGGUAAGGAGUAGAUCUUGAGGUGUCUGCCUAUCGAGGACUAGGUCCAAAUACUUCAUUCAAUCGGGUCGGGCCAGUAUGCAAUGUUCUCCUUAUUUGUUGGUAAAAAUACAAAUCACAUUUUGGUUGUAUGAAGAGAAAUUAGAAGUGUGGGAACUACUUAUGAUAGGUUACCUUGUGGUGUUUGAUAUGUGCAUAUUUAUAUAUAUAAAUAGGGUUUACUUUAAGUAUGAUGUUUAGGGGAGAUAUAGCCGUAGUAUCCAUAGAGGGUGCUAUAACGUUGCUACUGAAAGGAGCUCCAAGAAUGGUCUAGUGAGAUUGCUUGGAUGUUCCCUUCUUUUUCUCACAUGGAGCUGCAUAUUGCACAGGUAGACCGUGUGUAAUGACAAUCAUCAUACUUAAUCUCAGGAUGUUUGCAGCAAUGAUCUUAGUAUGAAUUUAACAAGUACUAGCAUGAUGGUAUUAUUGUUUCAGUUAUACUCUAGCUACGCCAGCCUUCAGGUCUAGCAAAGUAAUUAGUAGCUUCACAGAGAAAGACCUCAAAGCUAUGUUUUGACACAGCAUCUCGUCAAUUACAGAAUAUGGAGCAAUAUUUUUCUCUUCUCUCCUGUGCUUGUUCUGCUGUGCAAAGGAGCUAAUGUGUGUUUUAGCUCCUAGUCUUCUAGGUGAAAACAUUGACCUCCCCCAUUUUUGCAAAUUUGGUAGAGAACUUCUUCUAUGUAAACAGCAUUUCACUGUUUCUGGUAUUGGGCAGAGUAUGAAUGAAACUCAGCCUAGUUGGCUAGCCUUACACGUCGACGGUUCUUGAUCACAAUAAUGAGUAUCUUGGUGAAGCUAUUUCAGUUUGAUGUUGGAGAAACUCCUGCUUUUCAAGUCCUUCCGUCACUCAAAAGAGUAAACAGCGAACGCUGCUACAGGUCGCAGACAGUAUGAUGCUGUUUUCACGUCUGGAAGUGGAAGCAGUACCGUCGGGGUGGGUUCUCUAGAUCCCCUCAAUUUGUCUAUAAUGAUGACGUGUACAAGGAUGUCUUCUUUAUCAGAAGCUAGCUUUAUCAUCCGCUCAGCGAAUCAUUGGUACACAGAGCCUCUUUGUACUGACGCUUGUGCCUUGACAAUGGGAUCUUCUCAAUCAUUUGCAUAGUAAAAGUGAAAACAAUGGGAGACACAAAAUUCAUAACAAGCCUAUCUUGAUAUGUUUAUGGGUUUUCGAGUCCAAAGACCAGCACAAUGCUUCAAAAUUGUAGGAAAGAAGGAAGCCUUGCGUAUGUCUAAUGAUUCUGAGACUUGAGGACACAGAGGAUGGCUGCACUCCAUUCGAGUAUCUCUGCAAUGAGUCGCUCUUCAUCUUAACCAGAGGAUCUACAAUGAGAAAUCAUCAUUGAGCGCCUAACCAAGACAUGAAGGUCGUUUCGGUGCACAUAUUACUCCAUCUUGUUUAUUAUGUACUUUGGUAAACACAUUUCUGUUUGGAUUACUGAUCAUGAAUUUCUGUCAUUGUAUGCAACAUGCCAGUCUUGUACGUUUUGUUUAGCACCCCAUGAGACAAACUAAAGUGAAAUGUGUUCUUUUACUACCGUAUAUUUUUUAGAUUUGAUGCAUAAUGUCUAUUGCGAGUUCCCAAUAUCAUUUUGUUAAAGGAUUUUGAGGGGUUUCAGAAAUCCAUAAUAAAAUGGUUCAAUCCUAACACAAGGAACAUUUCCAUGCUUUUCU
Molecule: non-coding RNA, 2357 nt
Organism: Sesamum indicum (sesame)
Lineage: Eukaryota; Viridiplantae; Streptophyta; Magnoliopsida; Lamiales; Pedaliaceae
Source: RefSeq, a predicted model, not a curated record